This 164-nucleotide long non-coding RNA is filed under the name Vombatus ursinus (common wombat). Its description in RNAcentral is "lncRNA (ENSVURG00010014307.1)". Lineage: Eukaryota; Metazoa; Chordata; Mammalia; Diprotodontia; Vombatidae. The record is from RNAcentral.
UAGAAGAAAGGAAAAAUCUUGCAGCAAGCCUCAAUACUGAUGAAUUGAGAAUACAGUGUUGGUUUCAAAAUAGAAGAGCCAGAUAACAGCAAAAGCAGGCAUUCCUGGCUUCUACCUGCUCAAGAAAAAAGAUGGGACAGGAAAAUCCGUCUCCAAGUAAGAUU